Long non-coding RNA from Callithrix jacchus (white-tufted-ear marmoset), 2783 nucleotides. NCBI's taxonomy places the organism in Eukaryota, Metazoa, Chordata, Mammalia, Primates, Cebidae. The record is from Ensembl.
GGAGAAGCAGCCUGGGAGAGGUAUCCAAGAAGGGAACUGCACAGGACGAGCAGCUGGAAGGCAGGAGAAGCAGCCUGGGAGAGGUAUCCAAGAAGGGAACUGCACAGGACGAGCAGCUGGAAGGCAGGAGAAGCAGCCUGGGAGAGGUAUCCAAGAAGGGAACUGCACAGGACGAGCAGCUGGAAGGCAGGAGAAGCAGCCUGGGAGAGGUAUCCAAGAAGGGAACUGCACAGGACGAGCAGCUGGAAGGCAGGAGAAGCAGCCUGGGAGAGGUAUCCAAGAAGGGAACUGCACAGGACGAGCAGCUGGAAGGCAGGAGAAGCAGCCUGGGAGAGGUAUCCAAGAAGGGAACUGCACAGGACGAGCAGCUGGAAGGCAGGAGAAGCAGCCUGGGAGAGGUAUCCAAGAAGGGAACUGCACAGGACGAGCAGCUGGAAGGCAGGAGAAGCAGCCUGGGAGAGGUAUCCAAGAAGGGAACUGCACAGGACGAGCAGCUGGAAGGCAGGAGAAGCAGCCUGGGAGAGGUAUCCAAGAAGGGAACUGCACAGGACGAGCAGCUGGAAGGCAGGAGAAGCAGCCUGGGAGAGGUAUCCAGAAGGGAACUGCACAGGACGAGCAGCUGGAAGGCAGGAGAAGCAGCCUGGGAGAGGUAUCCAAGAAGGGAACUGCACAGGACGAGCAGCUGGAAGGCAGGAGAAGCAGCCUGGGAGAGGUAUCCAAGAAGGGAACUGCACAGGACGAGCAGCUGGAAGGCAGGAGAAGCAGCCUGGGAGAGGUAUCCAAGAAGGGAACUGCACAGGACGAGCAGCUGGAAGGCAGGAGAAGCAGCCUGGGAGAGGUAUCCAAGAAGGGAACUGCACAGGACGAGCAGCUUGGAAGGCAGGAGAAGCAGCCUGGGAGAGGUAUCCAAGAAGGGAACUGCACAGGACGAGCAGCUGGAAGGCAGGAGAAGCAGCCUGGGAGAGGUAUCCAAGAAGGGAACUGCACAGGACGAGCAGCUGGAAGGCAGGGAGAAGCAGCCUGGGAGAGGUAUCCAAGAAGGGAACUGCACAGGACGAGCAGCUGGAAGGCAGGAGAAGCAGCCUGGGAGAGGUAUCCAAGAAGGGAACUGCACAGGACGAGCAGCUGGAAGGCAGGAGAAGCAGCCUGGGAGAGGUAUCCAAGAAGGGAACUGCACAGGACGAGCAGCUGGAAGGCAGGAGAAGCAGCCUGGGAGAGGUAUCCAAGAAGGGAAACUGCACAGGACGAGCAGCUGGAAGGCAGGAGAAGCAGCCUGGGAGGAGGUAUCCAAGAAGGGAACUGCACAGGACGAGCAGCUGGAAGGCAGGAGAAGCAGCCUGGGAGAGGUAUCCAAGAAGGGAACUGCACAGGACGAGCAGCUGGAAGGCAGGAGAAGCAGCCUGGGAGAGGUAUCCAAGAAGGGAACUGCACAGGACGAGCAGCUGGAAGGCAGGAGAAGCAGCCUGGGAGAGGUAUCCAAGAAGGGAACUGCACAGGACGAGCAGCUGGAAGGCAGGAGAAGCAGCCUGGGAGAGGUAUCCAAGAAGGGAACUGCACAGGACGAGCAGCUGGAAGGCAGGAGAAGCAGCCUGGGAGAGGUAUCCAAGAAGGGAACUGCACAGGACGAGCAGCUGGAAGGCAGGAGAAGCAGCCUGGGAGAGGUAUCCAAGAAGGGAACUGCACAGGACGAGCAGCUGGAAGGCAGGAGAAGCAGCCUGGGAGAGGUAUCCAAGAAGGGAACUGCACAGGACGAGCAGCUGGAAGGCAGGAGACGCAGCCUGGGAGAGGUAUCCAAGAAGGGAACUGCACAGGACGAGCAGCUGGAAGGCAGGAGAAGCAGCCUGGGAGAGGUAUCCAAGAAGGGAACUGCACAGGACGAGCAGCUGGAAGGCAGGAGAAGCAGCCUGGGAGAGGUAUCCAAGAAGGGAACUGCACAGGACGAGCAGCUGGAAGGCAGGAGAAGCAGCCUGGGAGAGGUAUCCAAGAAGGGAACUGCACAGGACGAGCAGCUGGAAGGCAGGAGAAGCAGCCUGGGAGAGGUAUCCAAGAAGGGAACUGCACAGGACGAGCAGCUGGAAGGCAGGAGAAGCAGCCUGGGAGAGGUAUCCAAGAAGGGAACUGCACAGGACGAGCAGCUGGAAGGCAGGAGAAGCAGCCUGGGAGAGGUAUCCAAGAAGGGAACUGCACAGGACGAGCAGCUGGAAGGCAGGAGAAGCAGCCUGGGAGAGGUAUCCAAGAAGGGAACUGCACAGGACGAGCAGCUGGAAGGCAGGAGAAGCAGCCUGGGAGAGGUAUCCAAGAAGGGAACUGCACAGGACGAGCAGCUGGAAGGCAGGAGAAGCAGCCUGGGAGAGAUGAGGAAACAGGCUCAGAGACAUGAAGAAACUAACCCAGGAGUGGGAGAUCCAGGACCUGAACUCCGGCCGUGGCCUAUCAGAUGCUUCUCAAAUUCCUCCCCUUGCCCACACCUCUGCAGAGCCUAAUGGAAUUGAAGUAUUGGCUGACUAUCUGGCAGGUGUGAGGAAACAGAAGGAUGAAGGGCUGGGCUAUAAGAACAUACAACAUUGAGAGCCCAGAAAACGGUGUUGUGUGGAACCCAACACUCAUCUUCAUUGUGUACUCGGAUGGUUCAGAGAAUAAAGCAUUCCAUCCAGCAGCAAGAACAGUUCAGGGUACUGUGGUGAACUCGGGUCUGGAGUGGCAGAGAAGGCCCUGGGGUCUGAGUGGACCCCAAGCUGACUGUGACUCAGCUGGCUGAAGAGGAGGAUGAUCCUAUAAGGCUA